This 793-nucleotide unclassified non-coding RNA is filed under the name Hevea brasiliensis (rubber tree). The record is from RNAcentral. Lineage: Eukaryota; Viridiplantae; Streptophyta; Magnoliopsida; Malpighiales; Euphorbiaceae.
UUGGGAUAGGGGUAAUGUGCCCUUAUAAAGCCUUGAGCACUCUAUCCCCCUUGAGCUAGCUUUUGGGGGGAGUUAGACUUGGCCCAUUUUCUUAAGAUAGUAUCAGAGCCUUCCCAACCAAUAUUGAGCCUCCCAUAAGUGUUUCAUGCUCUAGAUGUUCAGUCUUAGGCGUGAGAGGGGUGUUAAUAUCCCACGUCGGUUUGAGAUAAGAGGUAAUGUGCCUUUAUAAAGCCUUAAGCACUCCUUCCCCCUUGAGCUAGCUUUUGAGGGUGAUUUAGGCCCAGCCAAUUUUCUUAAGAAAGACAACUUUUGCUCAGAAAACUGAAAUAGCAUUAAUGUACACAAAACUUAUUAUGUGCAAAAACCAAGUGUCAUAUUAGUUGUUGUCAUCCAAUUUACAAAUUAUUCAUUCACAAAUUUCUAAAACUUGGCAAGGGAUCUGUGAGCUCAGCAUUCUUCCGAUGUAUCUGUGCGCAUAAGUAUGCAUGCUCAUGUGCCUCAAGCAACCAUUCAUUUAGAGUUUCAUAAGGAGAAAUGACUUUCAAAAUGAAUUCAUCAAUAUAUCAGGACAUAUUCACUUAGCAAGAUCUUCCCUGCCUCAUUUUACAUAUCAUAGUUGCUGUCUAAUUAUUUCAGCAAAAGGGGAAUUCAAAAUCUUUAGAGAGAGGGAGCAGAUGUAACUCAAGUUUUGUACUGUCAGCAGAACAUGUAAUGAAAUCAGAAGAAAAGAGAAGAUCCAUGCUGAUUCAUCAUCAUAGAAAAUUUUACUAAAGUGAAAAGCUUGCGAAGAUAA